CCCCUCUCAGGAUCUCACCUGGAGAGUUUCCAAUACUUUACCAGUCUCAGCUAUGUGAGGGAGAGUCAGUCAGAGGCAUAUCCAUUCCAUUCCUAGCUUGGGUAGUGGCUAGUGAAUGGAAGACAGUCUGCUAUAAGU
Non-coding RNA from Ornithorhynchus anatinus (platypus), 138 nucleotides. The record is from Rfam. Lineage: Eukaryota; Metazoa; Chordata; Mammalia; Monotremata; Ornithorhynchidae.